AUGCAGCACAUCUUCUCCUUCGGGCUGACAACUGGGAAGCAUGCCAUGGGCUCGGGGGAGCCUCUUGGUUCCCCCUUGCCAGACUUCCCUGGGACCCCGGACGUCGAGGUCCUUGAUGGCCCUAACAAGCCCGCUGCGAAGCCCUUCGACAAGCCAUUUGACCCCGUCAAUGAUAGGAAGAGGAAGAGAGGAGGCCUGAUGGAGGAGGAGAUCAAUGUCUUUUGCAGCAUGACUGAGGCGGUGAAGGAGGUGGCAACAGCCAUCAGGGAGUGCAAGCCCCUCGACGUCCACCCUGACCUGUAUGGCGCUGUCAUGACCCAGGGUGGCUUCAGUGACGAGGCUUUGAUGGCAGCUCUCAGCCACCUGCUUGAUAACAAGGCCCGGAGUGUUGGGUUCGUUGCCAUGGCCGACGCUCAUAGGAUGUUGUGGCUCAGGAGCUGGCUGGGCAAGCACUACUACUAG
This 462-nucleotide ribosomal RNA is filed under the name Triticum aestivum (bread wheat). Its description in RNAcentral is "partial small subunit ribosomal RNA". The record is from RNAcentral. Lineage: Eukaryota; Viridiplantae; Streptophyta; Magnoliopsida; Poales; Poaceae.